UUGUACUGAGAGCAUUUUGAUCAAGGACAACUGAAAAUGGCAGGGACAAGUACCUUUAACCCAUCGGCAUACACGCCGGGGCCAUCGUUGAUUGUGGACAAUUUGCACGAAAAUGUGACUGAGGAUUUGUUGUAUACACUAUUCCGCCUAUACGGACCAAUCCUUUAUUUGCAGCUUUCCAGACAUCCAGUAACCAAACGGUCUACUGGAAGUGCUGUUGUGAGCUAUAGACACAGGUAUCAGGCAGCAAAUGCCCUAAAGGCUGUGAAUUCUUUGGAACUCAUGGGCAAAAAAGUGAGGUGCACGUGGACCAAUGUGGACUUACUCCUUAUGGCCUCAGAAGAAUACAUUGAAAAAAAUAAAAGAGAGAGGUCACGGGGUAGAUUAGGUAGAUUUGCAAAGUUUGUGGAAAAUUCUGUUACAAAAGUUGUGACAAACCCAGACAACUUGUUUGCUGCCGGCCUGCUGUUCUUAGCAGUCGUCCUGCCUACUAAGAUAUGACAGGUGCUAAUGGGCCACACCGGUCUUGUAGCUGUGCCCACGCCUCAGGAUGGAUGAAGAAAGGGUUAAGUCCUGUGCGACCACUCCAGCUUUGGGUGAAAGGCUUUGUUGCUCCCCAUGAGUGGCGCACAGGCUGACCCGCUCUCAAGGUGACCCAUGGAUGCGUCAAAGCCUGGGUCCCUUGGAAAUCAAUCACCCCGCUUUUACCAGGAAGGGUCAUGCGGAUGCCUCCAAGAUGGGCUGGGACGCCCUGUGCAAUGGCGGAAUAGGCUUUGGCUCAUGGGCGUCCCCUAUGUCGAUUUUGUCAUCAACCGCCUAGAUAUGAUGGCGGUGAUUUUGACCCUCAAGGAGUUUACGUGUGCCACAUGUUGAUCAUUUACACUGCUGACGGCUGCCGUCCGUGAGGGAGCGGGUGAUCGCCGUCGAACGGAGGACUCCUGCCGGGUACCCGGACGAGCCGUCACCGUCCACCAGGCGGUGGCCGAGGGCUAUGCAGCACCGCUGCCAGGCUUCGUGGACGAGUUCACCCAGCUGGUGGUUGACCGGAUGGUGGUUUGGGAACCGGGCCAAGAUUUUUUUUCCUCUCUUGUCUCUGUCACUCCUGAUGCUUCAUUGAAGGACGAGAGAGGACCAGGACCAUAAUUUUUAUGCAUGUGCGGCAGUCGUCCGUGAGGGGCUGCCACUUUUACUUUACUUUUGUGUUUAUUUAUUUUAUGAUUAUUAAACUUUUUUAAAAAGU
This is a long non-coding RNA of Ctenopharyngodon idella (grass carp), 1240 nucleotides long. RefSeq lists it as uncharacterized. The record is from RefSeq and is a predicted model, not a curated record. The transcript has 2 exons. NCBI's taxonomy places the organism in Eukaryota, Metazoa, Chordata, Actinopteri, Cypriniformes, Xenocyprididae.